RNAcentral lists this ribosomal RNA (400 nucleotides) under uncultured bacterium. RNAcentral's name for it is "bacterial SSU rRNA". It matches the Rfam family "Bacterial small subunit ribosomal RNA", at positions 355 to 769 of the family's 1533-position model. The record is from RNAcentral.
UGGGGAAUAUUGGGCAAUGGGCGCAAGCCUGACCCAGCAACGCCGCGUGAAGGAAGAAGGCUUUCGGGUUGUAAACUUCUUUUGGCAGGGACGAAAUAAAUGACGGUACCUGCAGAAUAAGCUCCGGCUAACUACGUGCCAGCAGCCGCGGUAAUACGUAGGGAGCAAGCGUUAUCCGGAUUUACUGGGUGUAAAGGGCGCGUAGGCGGGAAUGCAAGUCAGAUGUGAAAUCUGGGGGCUCAACCCCCAAGCUGCAUUUGAAACUGUAUUUCUUGAGUGAUGGAGAGGCAAGUGGAAUUCCUAGUGUAGCGGUGAAAUGCGUAGAUAUUAGGAGGAACACCAGUGGCGAAGGCGACUUGCUGGACAUUAACUGACGCUGAGGCGCGAAAGCGUGGGGAGC